This 64-nucleotide non-coding RNA is filed under the name unclassified sequences. RNAcentral's name for it is "DUF3800-IX RNA". It matches the Rfam family "DUF3800-IX RNA". From Rfam's summary of the family: Actinobacteria, Firmicutes (1 example), Nitrospirae, Proteobacteria, Verrucomicrobia (1 example). Nearby to DUF3800 The record is from Rfam by way of RNAcentral.
AAAUCGAUCCCGAAGGGUUGCCGGAUGGUAGCCAAUCUCGAAAGAGAUAGGGGUCGAUUCCGCU